CCUACGGGGGGCAGCAGUGGGGAAUAUUGGACAAUGGGCGAAAGCCUGAUCCAGCCAUGCCGCGUGUGUGAAGAAGGCCUUCGGGUUGUAAAGCACUUUCAGUGGGGAAGAAAGCCUUGGGGCUAAUACCCUCGAGGAAGGACAUCACCCACAGAAGAAGCACCGGCUAACUCCGUGCCAGCAGCCGCGGUAAUACGGAGGGUGCGAGCGUUAAUCGGAAUUACUGGGCGUAAAGCGUGCGUAGGCGGUCUGAUAAGCCGGUUGUGAAAGCCCCGGGCUCAACCUGGGAACGGCAUCCGGAACUGUCAGGCUAGAGUGCAGGAGAGGAAGGUAGAAUUCCCGGUGUAGCGGUGAAAUGCGUAGAGAUCGGGAGGAAUACCAGUGGCGAAGGCGGCCUUCUGGACUGACACUGACGCUGAGGUGCGAAAGCGUGGGUAGCAAACAGGAUUAGAUACCCGUGUAGUC
Molecule: ribosomal RNA, 465 nt
Filed under: Vreelandella stevensii
Lineage: Bacteria; Pseudomonadati; Pseudomonadota; Gammaproteobacteria; Oceanospirillales; Halomonadaceae
Description: partial 16S ribosomal RNA
Rfam family: Bacterial small subunit ribosomal RNA
Source: RNAcentral